This 682-nucleotide ribosomal RNA is filed under the name uncultured bacterium. RNAcentral's name for it is "bacterial SSU rRNA". It matches the Rfam family "Bacterial small subunit ribosomal RNA", at positions 78 to 776 of the family's 1533-position model. The record is from RNAcentral.
CUUCGGGUAAUGAGGAUGGCGGACGGGUGAGUAACGCGUAAGGAACUUGCCUCUUGGUCUGGGACAACUGUUGGAAACGACAGCUAAUACCGGAUAUUAUGAGAUUCUCGCAUGGGAAACUUAUGAAAGCUAUAUGCGCCAAGAGAGAGCCUUGCGUUCCAUUAGCUAGUUGGUGGGGUAACGGCCCACCAAGGCGACGAUGGAUAGCCGGCCUGAGAGGGUGAACGGCCACAAGGGGACUGAGACACGGCCCUUACUCCUACGGGAGGCAGCAGUGGGGAAUAUUGGACAAUGGGCCACAAGCCUGAUCCAGCAAUUCUGUGUGCACGAUGAAGGUCUUCGGAUUGUAAAGUGCUUUCAGUUGGGAAGAAGAAAGUGACGGUACCAACAGAAGAAGCGACGGCUAAAUACGUGCCAGCAGCCGCGGUAAUACGUAUGUCGCAAGCGUUAUCCGGAUUUAUUGGGCGUAAAGCGCGUCUAGGCGGAAAAAUAAGUCUGAUGUUAAAAUGCGGGGCUCAACUCCGUAUUGCGUUGGAAACUGUUUUUCUAGAGUACUGGAGAGGUGGGCGGAACUACAAGUGUAGAGGUGAAAUUCGUAGAUAUUUGUAGGAAUGCCGAUGGAGAAGUCAGCUCACUGGACAGAUACUGACGCUGAAGCGCGAAAGCGUGGGGAGCAAACAGG